GACGAACGCUGGCGGCGUGCCUAAUACAUGCCAGUCGAACGCUGAAGGAGGAGCUUGCUUCUCUGGAUGAGUUGCGAACGGGUGAGUAACGCGUAGGUAACCUGCCUGGUAGCGGGGGAUAACUAUUGGAAACGAUAGCUAAUACCGCAUAAGAGUAGAUGUUGCAUGACAUUUGCUUAAAAGGUGCAAUUGCAUCACUACCAGAUGGACCUGCGUUGUAUUAGCUAGUUGGUGGGGUAACGGCUCACCAAGGCGACGAUACAUAGCCGACCUAAGAGGGUGAGCGGCCACACUGGGACUGAGACACGGCCCAGACUCCUACGGGAGGCAGCAGUAGGGAAUCUUCGGCAAUGGACGGAAGUCUGACCGAGCAACGCCGCGUGAGUGAAGAAGGUUUUCGGAUCGUAAAGCUCUGUUGUAAGAGAAGAACGAGGGUGAGAGUGGAAAGUUCACACUGUGACGGUAUCUUACCAGAAAGGGACGGCUAACUACGUG
RNAcentral lists this ribosomal RNA (495 nucleotides) under uncultured bacterium. RNAcentral's name for it is "partial 16S ribosomal RNA". It matches the Rfam family "Bacterial small subunit ribosomal RNA", at positions 28 to 507 of the family's 1533-position model. The record is from RNAcentral.